Molecule: ribosomal RNA, 252 nt
Filed under: uncultured Bacteroidales bacterium
Lineage: Bacteria; Pseudomonadati; Bacteroidota; Bacteroidia; Bacteroidales
Description: partial 16S ribosomal RNA
Rfam family: Bacterial small subunit ribosomal RNA
Source: RNAcentral
UACGUAGGGGGCGAGCGUUAUCCGGAUUCACUGGGUGUAAAGGGAGCGUAGACGGCCGUGCAAGCCAGGAGUGAAAGCCCGGGGCUCAACCCCGGCCCGCCGUUGAAACUGGCAGUCUCGAGUUGGAGAGAAGUAUGCGGAAUGCGCGGUGUAGCGGUGAAAUGCAUAGAUAUCGCGCAGAACUCCGAUUGCGAAGGCAGCAUACCGGUGCACAACUGACGCUCAGGCACGAAAGCGUGGGUAUCGAACAGG